AUGCCAUCUGGGGGAUGGCUCGGCUUGGGCGCCGAGGAAGGUCGUGGCAAGCUGCGAUAAGCCUGGGCGAGGAGCAUGCAUCCUUGGAACCCUGAAACAUCUUAGUAGGCGGAGGAAAAGAAAGCAACAUGCGAUGCCGUGAGUAAUGGCGAAUGAAAGCGGCACAGGACAAACCGAACCCCCCAUAGCAAUAUGGGGGGAAUGUGGUGUUGAUUGGGGGACAUGACACAUACAACUCUCCACGGGAGUGUGUCGAAGUCUGGCUGGAAUGCCAGCGCCGAAGAGGGUUAAAGCCCCGUAGAUACGCUCCUAGGGGAGUUGAUGUCAUGUCCCCAGAGUAGCGUCCGUUGGAUAUCGGGCGUGAAGCUGGGAGGCAUCGACUCCCAAUCCUAAAUACGUCCCAAGACCGAUAGCGUACUAUGUACCGUGAGGGAAAGCUGAAAAGCACCCCUAAUCGGGGGGUGAAAAGAGCCUGAAACCAGAUGGCGACAGCCCGACAUGGCAUGGAAGGAGUGAUACCCUUGUGAAAGAAACCAUGGCGACAUGGGAGUAUGAACAAGGGUGGACUAAUGUCAUGUCGUCCGUCUUGAAACACGGGCCAGGGAGUUUAGGGUUGUGGCGAGGCUAAGAAGCUAAACGCUUCGCAGCCAUAGGGAAACCAACCGGUCCGCAACAACCAAACUGGUUGUGAGGGACGGGGUCCCGAAAGGGCCUGGAGUCACAGCCCUAAGACCCGAAGCCGGUCGAUCUAGCCCUGGGUAGGGUGAAGUCGCUCUUACGAGUGAUGGAGGCCCGCAGGGGUGUUGUCGUGCAAAACGCUCCCCUGACCUGGGGCUAGGGGUGAAAGGCCAAUCAAGGCCGGUGACAGCUGGUUCCACCCGAAGUGGCUCGUAGGCCAGCCCGACCGGAGACAGGUGGCGGGGUAGAGCACUUAUUGGGUGUUUAGGGGGAGAAAUCCCUCGGCAUCCUGUAAAACUCCGAACCCGUCACCGUCGUAGAUGGUCGGAGUCAGGGGCGCGGGGUAAGCUUGUGUCCCGAGAGAGGAACAACUCAGACUGGGGUUAAGGUCCCUAAAUGCCGGCUAAGUCAAAGGUGGUCUUUGGCCCUAGACAAUGGGAAGGUGGGCUUAGAAGCAGCCAUCCUUUAAAGAGUGCGUAACAGCUCACCCAUCGAGGUCAAAGGCGCCGAAAAUGGAAGGGGAUCAAGCCGGCUACCGAUACCCCAGAGCACCACGGGAAUCCGUGGUGAUCUUGUAGGGUGGCGUCCUGUCAGGGUAGAAGCAGGGGCGUGAGCUCCUGUGGACCUGGCAGGAAUGAGGAUCCUGGUAGUAGUAGCAGCAAAGUGAGGUGAGAAUCCUCACCGCCGGAGGGGCUAGGGUUCCUGGGCUCUGUUCGUCAGCCCAGGGUUAGUCGGUCCUAAGGCCACUGGUAAUCUAAGUGGUCGAAAGGGAAACAGGUUAAUAUUCCUGUACAACCCAGGUACAUGCGGUGACGCUAGGACUGGCUUCUGACGCUUCAGGGUAGGCCGAGUAGGACCGUCGUCCUAUUUAAAGGUUGAAGCCUGGGGAGAACCGUAAUGGUGAGAACCAGGUGAAAGCCUGAAUAGCCACCCCUUGUGGGUGGUUCGGCCAACCCCUGGAGCCCAUGAAAAGGGAGCCAGUAUGGAUCCUGGGUUGCCGUACCGAGAACCGACACAGGUGCCCCUAGCUGAGUAGGCUAAGGCGUGUGGGGGUAACCUGGCUAAGGGAAAUCGGCAAAUUGGCCCCGUAACUUCGGGAUAAGGGGUGCCAGCCACGAGUAGUGGCUGGUCGCAGUGACUAGGGGGGCCCGACUGUUUAAUAAGUGAAGCGCCGGUAAACGGCGGGGGUAACUAUAACCCUCUUAAGGUAGCGAAAUGCCUUGCCGGAUAAGUACCGGCCUGCAUGAAUGGUUGAACGAGGUCCCUACUGUCCCUAGCCAGGACCUGGUGAAGCUGCUGUUCUGGUGCACAAGCCAGAGACUCCCAGUGGGAAGCGAAGACCCCGUAGAGCUUUACUGCAGUCUGCUGUUGGGGCUUGGUCAUGGGUAUGCAGUGUAGGUGGGAGGUGUCGAUGCCAUGGUCGCCAGGCCGUGGUGGAGCCGGUCAUGAGACACCACCUUCCUGUGACUGUGUCUCUAACCCCCCAUUGUGGGGGGGACAUCGGUAGAUGGGCAGUUUGGCUGGGGCGGCACGCGCUUGAAAUGGUAUCAAGCGCGCCCUAAGGUCGGCUCAGGCGGGACAGAGAUCCGCUGUAGAGUGUAAGGGCAUAAGCCGGCUUGACUGUGCUCCUACUAGUAGGGGGUGCAGGUGCGAGAGCAGGGCCUAGCGAACCCCAGAGUCCUCGUCGGUGGGGGCCUGGGAUGACAGAAAAGCUACCUCGGGGAUAACUGGGUGGUCGCAGGCAAGAGCCCAUAUCGACCCUGCGGCUUGCUA
This 2451-nucleotide ribosomal RNA is filed under the name terrestrial metagenome. Its description in RNAcentral is "bacterial LSU rRNA". It matches the Rfam family "Archaeal large subunit ribosomal RNA", at positions 15 to 2592 of the family's 2987-position model. The record is from RNAcentral.